AUGUGAUCGUCUCUCGCAUAUCAAUAAGCGGAGGAAAAGAAACUAACAAGGAUUCCCUUAGUAACGGCGAGUGAAGCGGGAAGAGCUCAAAUUUGAAAUCUUCAAGGUUUUACCUUGACGAAUUGUAGUUUAAAGAAGUGUUUUCUGUUGAAGUUUUGGUAAAAGUUCUUUGGAAUAGGACAUCAUAGAGGGUGAGAAUCCCGUAUUUGACCAUUAUUUUCAGCUGUGUGAUACACUUUCAAAGAGUCGGAUUGUUUGGGAAUGCAGUCCAAAAUGGGUAGUAAAUUUCAUCUAAAGCUAAAUAUUGGCGAGAGACCGAUAGCGAACAAGUACCGUGAGGGAAAGAUGAAAAGAACUUUGAAAAGAGAGUUAAACAGUACGUGAAAUUGUCAAAAGGGAAGCGUUUGACACCAGUGUUGUUUUCUCGAAAAUCAAUUAAAAAGAGUUAGAUUUUGUUGUGUAUUGACCUUAACAGCUUGCAUUUCAAUUUUCUUGCUUUUUUUAAUGCACUUUUCGUUUAACAAGUCAACAUCAGUUUCUUUUGUUGUAAAAAGGUCAUUGGAAGGUGGCUUUCUUUUCGGAGAAAGUGUUUAUAGCCUUUGACUCCUGCAAUCGGAGAGGACUGAGGUCUGCAGCGUAGAUCCUUCGGGGUUAGAUACAUUUGUGCUAAGUUAUAGCUUUUUAUAGACAACUUGUUGACUAUGAUUAGUCUUGUAGCUUACUCGCUUAUGCUAUUUUACCUACGCUUAGGAUGUUGAAGAUGUAGCACAUCAU
This 774-nucleotide ribosomal RNA is filed under the name uncultured Neocallimastigales. RNAcentral describes it as "partial large subunit ribosomal RNA". It matches the Rfam family "Eukaryotic large subunit ribosomal RNA", at positions 24 to 620 of the family's 3401-position model. The record is from RNAcentral. Lineage: Eukaryota; Fungi; Neocallimastigomycota; Neocallimastigomycetes; Neocallimastigales.